This 273-nucleotide long non-coding RNA is filed under the name Mytilus galloprovincialis (Mediterranean mussel). The record is from RNAcentral. Lineage: Eukaryota; Metazoa; Mollusca; Bivalvia; Mytilida; Mytilidae.
CAGUGUUUACCCUGGCAAUAGUAUUUCAGGAUAAAAUAUAUUACAAAGGUAUAUAUUUUAAAAAUCAGGAAAUGGCACAAACAGCAAAAAGGCGUAAUGCACAUGAAUAACAGAAAAAAGGUCAUACAACGAUUUCCAUUAGUGUUUAAUUGAUCGAUUAUCGUAAGAAGAACUAAGGGUAAGUGACCAUAUUUCGAUAAUCCAGUCACCAUUGUGGGGAUCAAUGUGGCGUGUAUCAACAAGAAUUUAAACCUUUUUCUUAUGAUUCGACAC